RNAcentral lists this ribosomal RNA (769 nucleotides) under uncultured Pseudoalteromonadaceae bacterium. RNAcentral describes it as "bacterial SSU rRNA". It matches the Rfam family "Bacterial small subunit ribosomal RNA", at positions 28 to 776 of the family's 1533-position model. The record is from RNAcentral. Lineage: Bacteria; Pseudomonadati; Pseudomonadota; Gammaproteobacteria; Alteromonadales; Pseudoalteromonadaceae.
AUUGAACGCUGGCGGCAGGCCUAACACAUGCAAGUCGAGCGGAAACGAGUUAUCUGAACCUUCGGGGAACGAUAACGGCGUCGAGCGGCGGACGGGUGAGUAAUGCCUAGGAAAUUGCCCUGAUGUGGGGGAUAACCAUUGGAAACGAUGGCUAAUACCGCAUGAUGCCUACGGGCCAAAGAGGGGGACCUUCGGGCCUCUCGCGUCAGGAUAUGCCUAGGUGGGAUUAGCUAGUUGGUGAGGUAAGGGCUCACCAAGGCGACGAUCCCUAGCUGGUCUGAGAGGAUGAUCAGCCACACUGGAACUGAGACACGGUCCAGACUCCUACGGGAGGCAGCAGUGGGGGAUAUUGCACAAUGGGCGCAAGCCUGAUGCAGCCAUGCCGCGUGUAUGAAGAAGGCCUUCGGGUUGUAAAGUACUUUCAGUCGUGAGGAAGGUAGUGUAGUUAAUAGCUGCAUUAUUUGACGUUAGCGACAGAAGAAGCACCGGCUAACUCCGUGCCAGCAGCCGCGGUAAUACGGAGGGUGCGAGCGUUAAUCGGAAUUACUGGGCGUAAAGCGCAUGCAGGUGGUUUGUUAAGUCAGAUGUGAAAGCCCGGGGCUCAACCUCGGAAUAGCAUUUGAAACUGGCAGACUAGAGUACUGUAGAGGGGGGUAGAAUUUCAGGUGUAGCGGUGAAAUGCGUAGAGAUCUGAAGGAAUACCGGUGGCGAAGGCGGCCCCCUGGACAGAUACUGACACUCAGAUGCGAAAGCGUGGGGAGCAAACAGG